Molecule: long non-coding RNA, 329 nt
Filed under: Phoenix dactylifera (date palm)
Lineage: Eukaryota; Viridiplantae; Streptophyta; Magnoliopsida; Arecales; Arecaceae
Description: long non-coding RNA (PDAC_LNC009735)
Source: RNAcentral
AUCUUUUCAUUCAUAUUAUUUAUGUGUCUAUGAAUUGUCCAAGAAAUUAAUAAGAUGAUGAUACAUAUUCUCAAGAGUUGAGAAUUUGAGCCAUGUAUCAUUGAUGAUUAAUUUAUAAAUGCUCCUGAUCAAUGGAUCAUCAUGAGGACGGUGAUCGAUCCGAUCAGUGCACAGAUCGCUUUCUUUAUGGAUGGACGAGACUCGAGUCUACAGUGUAAGGACACUAAAGUGAUAGUGCAGGUGCUUGUUAGAGAACAAGGGUACUGAGCGUGACCAAGACAAGAAGUCACUUGGAUGUCUAUCCACUCGUCAGUGACUUACUUGAUGUU